Molecule: transfer RNA, 83 nt
Filed under: Candidatus Omnitrophota bacterium
Lineage: Bacteria; Pseudomonadati; Candidatus Omnitrophota
Description: tRNA-Leu
Rfam family: tRNA
About the family: Transfer RNA (tRNA) molecules are approximately 80 nucleotides in length. Their secondary structure includes four short double-helical elements and three loops (D, anti-codon, and T loops). Further hydrogen bonds mediate the characteristic L-shaped molecular structure. tRNAs have two regions of fundamental functional importance: the anti-codon, which is responsible for specific mRNA codon recognition, and the 3' end, to which the tRNAs corresponding amino acid is attached (by aminoacyl-tRNA synthetases). tRNAs cope with the degeneracy of the genetic code in two manners: having more than one tRNA (with a specific anti-codon) for a particular amino acid; and 'wobble' base-pairing, i.e. permitting non-standard base-pairing at the 3rd anti-codon position.
Source: RNAcentral
GCCGGGGUGGCGGAAUGGCAGACGCACCGGUCUCAAAAACCGGCGGGGUUACACCCAUAAGGGUUCAACUCCCUUCCCCGGCA